This 665-nucleotide long non-coding RNA is filed under the name Gossypium barbadense (sea-island cotton). Its description in RNAcentral is "long non-coding RNA (GBAR_LNC020506)". The record is from RNAcentral. Lineage: Eukaryota; Viridiplantae; Streptophyta; Magnoliopsida; Malvales; Malvaceae.
UUAAUUUGGAUCCCCACUACAUGCUUCUCCCGGCUUGUUUUAAAUAUAUGCUUGUGUAACGCAGGAGCUGCUACUAUGAUAUUUUAUUGUUUCAGUCUUAUUUAUUGAUUGUUGGAGAUAUGGAUGGAUGGUUAGGAUUAUAAGUUAUUGUUAAAGUUUUAAUCUAGGAAUAGGAAUAUAGGAUUAAAGCUUUAUUUGUAACUUAGCAUAAAUAAGUUGUGAAAUAGAUUUACAACUACUUUAUGAUUAUUUUAUUUGAGGAUAAAUCUCAAAUCUAUACCUGAAUAUUGUGCAAUGUGAUAGGUGAACUUUGAUUUUGUUCAAUUGAAUACAUAGAAAUGUAAAUUUAAAUUAAAUUUUAAUUUCACAGAGCACUCACAAUUUCCAACAUGAAACUGUUUUAUGUUUAUUUAUUGCAUACACUUAUAAUUAAAUUUACCCAACAUGAAUUAAUUGAAAUUAUUAUUUUUUAAUGUAUAAUAAUAUCAAAACCAAAGUUCCAUGCAUAAGAUUGAAUCAAAAUUAAAGUUUGACAUGCAUAAUUGCACCAAAUCAAAGUUAACUUGUUAUAUUACACAUUGGAUUAAAGCUCUUGUGUAAUUAGGAGUUUUAUCCCCUUUUUUUAAUGAAUAGAAUUAGAAACUAGAGGUUUAUCUAACCCCAUG